Long non-coding RNA from Gossypium arboreum, 1598 nucleotides. RefSeq lists it as uncharacterized. The record is from RefSeq and is a predicted model, not a curated record. The transcript has 5 exons. NCBI's taxonomy places the organism in Eukaryota, Viridiplantae, Streptophyta, Magnoliopsida, Malvales, Malvaceae.
UAAUUAUAACCCCUAUUCUGCCCAAUCAGAAAACCUGUUGCACGUCUUGUCUGCUAGGCUGGCAUUUCUUCUUCAAGACGUUUUCACAAUUCCAAAGGGAGCAUUUAACACUUUGUCUGUUGAUCUGCCCAUUUUCACAGCUUCCCUUUCUUUCUUUUCUUCUCUAUCCAUUUUCAAUCCGGUUCACACACACUAUCAUUUACUCUCUGAAAUUCGGCAUAUUCAGGAACACUAUCCACCAGCGAGUGCCUCUGCAGCGAAAGCUGAGCCUAUCUGGUGAUGAAUCUCUGAGCAAGAUAUUAAGGCCUUUCCUCCACUAUUUCUAACCACUAUCCCUGAAGCCGCUUGACUAGAUCUUUUAUCAUAUGCUGCGUCAAAAUUAAUCUUCACUAUCUGAUCAGGUGGAUGUUUCCAUUUACUGACUUCCUGGAUUGCCCAUAACGCGCAACAAAAUAAUCUACACAAGGAAAUAUUAUUCUGGGCAAACACCCAGGGCAUUCCCAGAAGAGAUGGUCCAUUGUUUCCACUGCUGAUUCACAUCGGGGGCAGAUUGCAUUAGUAAUUAGCUUUCUGUAUUGCAUGUUAGCUCGUGUAGGCAAAUAAUUCCAGGAGAUUUUCCAAACUGUAAUCUUAAUUUUGGAGGGUAGAUUUAAUAGCCAUAUUUUUUUAUAGAAAUUGUUGUAGUCGGUCUAUAAAGCAUAAGCACUAGAUCUUCCAACCUUAUUUAUAGGCACUACGGAUAGAGUAUUCUCCGGAGAGUUCACCACUCCAAGCCAGGAAAUCAUCAUGAGGAGCUUUCACCAGAGGAAUAUGCAGAAUCUUCUCAGCUACUUUGUGAGGAAAGGAGUUAAAGAAAGCAAGGGAAAGGCGAAGGUCAUCGAGUAGCUGACUUGGACUAUUUUUACCCAACACAAGGUAAGUCAUUAAGCAUAUAUUUGAUAUUGCUUAAAUGAUUGUAAUAUCUAUGCAAUUGUGUUUAAUGAGAUGAAAUAUAUACAAAUGUAUGUGUAUGAAAAGAUGAUAAUGUUGAACGUAAAAAAGAUAGUGAAAUGUGUAGGAAGUUUGCUUCGGCACUAAGUGUGCGAGAAAUAAAUGUGUACGGUGACGAGAUUGGCAUUGAGUGUGCGAGCUUGCAAUGUCCGGCACUAAGUGCAAGUUUGGACUAUAUGGCACUAUGUGUGCGGGCUUGAAUCAUAUGGCACUAAGUGUGCGUGAUUGAGUAUUAAGCACUAUGUGUGCGAACUCUACACAUAUUUCCGAUUGAACAUUUAUAUGGAGGCGUGAUUUUAUCGAGAUGAGUAUGGAUAGCGAAAAGAGUAAGUAUCUUGAGUUCAUUGCUAAUAGAUGCUAUGUUCAUGCUCGGGGUGGAGUUGGUAAGAUUUAAAUUUAUGUGAUGAUUUCAAUUGCAUUCCCGUAAAUAAGGUAUCGUGGAAUAGAUUAAAGUUCAUUUGAUUGCAUGAUUGUUGCGGAAAUGAAAUGAUGUAUGGAAAUUGCUUCAAAUAUCCUAUUGAACAGUAUAUGAAAUGUAAAUGUAUGACUUGGUAUGAGAUUGAUCCGAAAGAUGUAAGGAACUAUGAUAUAGUUUGGUAUGGCUGGAA